GUUCCCUGAAUUGGGGUUAUGCUUUUUGUAGUUUCAGACCAGACCACUUGAUCUUUGGUAUUGUGGCUUAAAACUGACUUGGCAAAGGAGAAGUACUCUGGCGAGAUCAAUAUCAUCUUCAUCCAGGCAUAGGCGGGGGUGAAGGGGUGAAAGAGGUACCUUUUCCGGGAACUGAUGGUUAGGACCGAUGCCUGUGCAUUUUCUGGCUGCACUUGAGCAUCACUAACACCCAAAUCACCGUCCUGCCCCUCUUCUUGCUCCUCCUCGCCCCUCCUCCUCGUCAUCACUGCGAUGGUUUGUUGAGUGUGUCCUUAUUCUAUGCCAGGCACUGUGCUAGGCACUUUACAAAUAUUUCUUUCAAACCUCCCAACACUCCUAUACGAGUAGGUGCGAUUAUCUGCAUUUUACAGAUAGGGGAUCUGAGAGGCUCAAAGGAGGUAAAUCACUUGACUAAAAUCUCACAGUCCAUAAUAAUCCAAGGACGCAGAGUUCACUUUGACGGAGCAUGUUCUGUACCAUGUGCCUGGCACGGGGCUGAAGGCUUUGCUUGGAUUGUCUGAUGUGACUGUACUCAGAUGAUAGGUAAGGAAAGAGUCACAGGGAUGGCAGGUGGUUUGCCCAAGGUCAUACAGCUGCUCGGAGAGAGAGCCGGAACUCGAAUCCAGGCAGCAGUGGCAGAAGGUGGGAGAAUUAGGAUUCAAACCUAAAUAUGCUUGAUGCUAAAGCUCAGGCUGCACUGUUGCCACUUACCAUCUCCAUGGACACUUGCAAGGGGGAGGCCACUGUGCUGGUCAACAGUCAUGUGACUUGGAAUCCUUAUAGUCACCCUAGUGGUUGCAACAGAAUUAUUAGCAGCUGCACUGGGCUUUGGCAAGUGACUAAGGCCAAUUUUAGACAAAACUAUAGGGAACUUGUGUGUCAAAAAAUGUGUGUGUGUGUGUGUGUGUGUGUGUGUGUGUGUGGUGCUUCUUCCUCCUGUGGACUCCAGCUAGGCAGUGUCUCCUACCCCAGGACUUUCUCUGAAUAGUUACUUCCAUGACCUUUGCCUCAGCCUGGCAACUGGCUGGAUACUCUUUGAGAAAAUACUUUGUGCCACAACCUUAACUCCAAGAAUAGAUCAAAGGGUUCUCUUGCCAGAAUAGCACACUUACCUUUUCUUUAGGUGCAGAUGUUCUCAGUGCUUUAAACAAAAUCAGUGACUAAGUGUAGAAUUUCAAGCCCUUGACCAGGAGCGGGAGUAUCUCGAGGUGUAUGUGCUUCUGUGAGUGGCAGUGAGGGGGUGGCUCAGAGAGGAUUUUCUGAGAAAAUAGGGAGGCUUUUGCCCCUCUUUAAAACGUCAAACAGACCCAUUACACCUACAUUAGGAUGCUGGGGCCUCGUCUUCCUCCCUAUUGGCUAACAGGAGGAUUCCGCAAGAGGUAGGCGUCUGGCGGAGAUAGUGCCCAAGGAAAGCGGGUCAGUAGGCUGAGAGGCUGGGGACAAAUCUCUACUCAAUUCCCCAGAUCAUGCCCUUUGCCAAGGUGCCCACACAUACCGUGUCUGUGUGUUCCAGUUUUGCAGAAUUGCCUUCCCUGGUUAAUACCCAGACCCCAGCCCCAGGGUCUGUAGAAAUACUCGCCUAUUGGCAUCCUGUUCCUUUUCCUCUCUUUCUCAAGCUGUUCAGCCUUCUCUAGUCCUGUUGGGAUUUGGGGCAUUAGCCGUUUUUGCUUAACCACCGCUGAAUGUCUGGCCGCUGUUUAAGCAGGCUCCUCUCCCUGGACACCUCUGAGUCAGUCCCCGUCUUUUAAAGGGGAAAGCCCCUGGGUGGGGCCCUCUUUCCGGCCUCCCUGCCCCUGGAAGAUGGGGUGGGGGUGGGGCGCAAUUCACGCAUUUGGGUGCGGGGCGGGCGCGCCUGGACCAUCCUGGCUCCCCGCGAUGUCUCCGCGCCGGUGUUACCCUAUGGGGCUCUCCGCUGCUCCACCCAAGGUCAUUUAAACAGGUCAAAAGCUUAACUUGCUGCUGCGCUGGACGACGCAUUCAUUACCUACUAGCGGCCAGCCAGAGAAAACAGAAAACUGGGACAGCGGAGGUGGGCUGGGGGUGGCGGCGCGGCGUCAGCCGUGGAGCAGCGCACCUGGUGUGAGGACCACAUCCUGGCCGCCUUCCCUGGCGUUUCAGGUCGCGGAGAGGUGCUCUUUUGUUUGGGGUCCAACAGAAAGGUUUUUUUUUGCUUUUGAGACAUUUUGAGAUUAUGCAGAUUUGUUAAUUUUGUUCUUUCCUACUUGAAAAAAAAAAAAAAAAAAAAGGCAGCUUACCUUUGCAGUAAGAAUUUCCCCCACCUCUCUUUUAGAGAAAGUACUUGAUGGCAGGCACUGCCGUCCUAUAUUAAUAGACCAAUAAUUACUACAUUUCAUACCAUGUAGAUUUCCCUCUGAAACCUCAAUCACAUAGGGAUACUGUGGUGGGGGUUUAAAUGCAGCAGCUAAUGUGCUGUUCCAGCAGGCAUUUCUCCACCUCUAAUCUUUUUUAUUGAACCUUUAAGUGGAACUUGUGCUCCUCUGGGUGGGAGCAGGGCUUUGAGAUUGUGUUCCUUGGUUUAGUCUGGUUCUUUAGUGGGAGAUUCUAAGAGCCUGAAUUGUAUCAUGAGCUGCAUUUGUUGGUGUGGGUUUCAGAUGAAAGCAUGAAAUCUCACUGACUUGCUGAACAUUGUGGUUUUGAAUCAGGGCUUUGGAGAUGAAGCUGCUAUACCCAACCUAACUCUUAACAGAAAUCACAGGAUUAUUUGCAUAUUGACUUGGCUACAAAGUUUUAGCUCCACCCUGUUUCAGUGGCUACAGUGUCUUAUAAAUAGGAGUAUUUUCUGAUGUUUAAUCUAAAGCUCUCUUCGGUUUCCAAAAAUCUGUUGCUUCAGACAACCCAGGCACCUGUGCCAUGCUUGGGACAGUAUUACUUCAUGUACUUAAAGGCUGGAUAUUCCUCCAGACUAAAUAAAUCUGGUGUCACCGUCUAUUAAGAUGAAAAAAUAUCCUUUUGCUGACUGACAUUCAAAAUGGAAAUGCAAAAAGCUUGGACUUUUAUUUUUCAUUCUCUCUUUUUAACCCUUGUUAAGGUGUCAACACACAUUUCAGUAUGCAGCUGGUGAGGUUAUGUUUUUGAUUAAUGAUGGCCUUGCUUGGCAUCACGGUCUUGAAUUUACCAUUUACUGUGAGUGUGACUGACCUGGUCAUGCCCAGACCAAAGAAGGCCAUGUAGACUAUUGACCACAUCUGUUAACCAUCUUUCCCCUCCCUUAGAACCUCUCCCAGGAUGGAAGGCAAAGCAUUCUCUUUAAUAGCAAAUGGUGAAAAAUGUGUUCCUUGCUUUAAAAAAAAAAUGGUGAAAAUUAAGUCAAUUGGCAACAGGUGCUUAUCUCCCCAAUGGGCGGAGAAGGCGCCAGGUGAUACGAAUCUGUGCCUGCGUACUGGAGCAAGCUGGAAUUGUAACCAUACCACCCACACUGCCAGGUAAAGUCCAUUUAGUUCCAGCAGUUGGGUCAUUUGCCAAAUGUUUGAAUUACUGUCCAAGGUUUCACAGAUGGCAUUUCGACUGUGGAGACCCUUCUCUUACUCACAUAGAGAAAGCAAAGGAAAGGGGAGAUGAUGCAUUGAUCCUUGCGCAGGGCGCACACCUGGAGGACUGGCUGUUACGGGGUUUGUGGAAACAUGGCCUUUUCCUCUGUGACUGGAACAGGUGAUGACGUCGAAAGGAGGCUGGCGUCUUUGAAAUUUUAAGUAAGGGUUUUGUACUCGCAGUGUUAAAUGUGGCUCAAACAGCUUAUGGGCCCCUUUAGAAAUUUAAAUAUGGUAUAAGAGACCCUUAAUUACUUAUAGGGAAGGCAUCUCUUCAACUGCUAGUUGGAAUAUACGUAAACAGAUCAGACAUUGCACAAGUUUUUGAUCUUGAACACUGGUGUAAUUGAGUAUCCCACAUAGACUAUCAAGGUGAGGGGUCAUUCUUAUUGGAAUCCUCCUGACAUCUCUGAUGCAGAUGGCUUUAUCUGCCUAUCAUUAAAGAUGUUAGUCAUGAAGAAAGUUCUUAUCUUGAAGACUUUGAUAGUUGUAGCAAACCUUGUGAGCAGUGUUUUCUUCUGCUGUUUUGUCAAAUCAGAUUUCACUUGGAGCAAUAAUGCUCCAUCCUGCUCUCAGGAUAUCUCAAGGUACCUCUGAUUCUUUCAUUCAGUACUGAAAAUGUUUUCAUUCUCAAAACUUUCACAGAUCUUUCUGAUACAGUCACUUAAUAAGAAAAAAAAUCACCCUGGGCUCAAAACUUUGAUGGCUCCCCAUUGGCCUUUGAGUCUUGAAAUGGAAACGGGUCAUACAAGUCCAGUCUCCUGCUGGUUAUAGACAUUAUCUCCUCAAGAAUCUUGGGUUUCCUGCUGAUCAUUUCAGCCACAGGGACUUCACCGCUUCAUGAAGUAAUUGGUUGCAUUAUUGGCCAGUGCGAGGUAUUAAAAAGUCUGUUUUUGUAUUGAGGUAGAAUCAGUUCCUUGAAGCAGGUACCGAUUGGACACAGUUUUGUCCAUGAGAACAGCAACAACCAAAGCACCUGCUUUCUUUUGGACCCAGUGUUUGAAGUCACUCCUCUGAUGUGUUAUACGUCAUCAGUUCAACUUAGAGCCCUUUCACUCUUUCUGGGGCAUGGUCUGCAGGUGCACCUUAGCUGAUCAUUGCUCCUCUCAAAGUGCAGAGCCAGGUCAAGCCCAUCCUUGCCAUCUGAGUUUCCAAGAGCUAUUCUGCCAGCCUGUCUACUGUAUUCACUCACAUUUGUUUUCAGGACUUUGCAGUACAAAUACCCAGAUUCAGACUGUCUCUUCACUAUCCUUUAAAUAAAGCAAUGAUAACUCUUCUUUCUUUGGUCUGUCUGAAAGAAUCUGGAGAAGUACAAGUUAUAAUAAUACCUUAUAAUAAUAUUUCAGGAACUUACCAUAUGCGUAGUGCUGGUGCUCGGUGAAUGACUCAGUCUCUGCUGUCUUGGAGCUACUGUAAGCUUCCUAAAUGGACACUAAAAAAGUGAACAAAGAAAUUAGUGAUUGCAAAUUUCACUAAAUGCCGUGAAGCUAAGAGCCAUGGGGUGCUGGGCCAGAGA
This 5103-nucleotide long non-coding RNA is filed under the name Sus scrofa (pig). RNAcentral describes it as "lncRNA (ENSSSCG00055027684.1)". Lineage: Eukaryota; Metazoa; Chordata; Mammalia; Artiodactyla; Suidae. The record is from RNAcentral.